UUGCAAUGAUGCUUUCUUAGGACACCUUUGAAAAAGAAUGAAAAUACCAUUUUAUGUUUCUGAGCGAC
Molecule: small nucleolar RNA, 68 nt
Organism: Anneissia japonica
Lineage: Eukaryota; Metazoa; Echinodermata; Crinoidea; Comatulida; Comatulidae
Product: small nucleolar RNA SNORD58
Exons: 1
Source: RefSeq, a predicted model, not a curated record